This is a long non-coding RNA of Populus euphratica (Euphrates poplar), 1792 nucleotides long. RefSeq lists it as uncharacterized. Lineage: Eukaryota; Viridiplantae; Streptophyta; Magnoliopsida; Malpighiales; Salicaceae. The transcript is spliced from 2 exons. The record is from RefSeq and is a predicted model, not a curated record.
CUCAGUUUGAGAUGAUCAUUGAUUGGCACCAGCAGACAUCGCAUAAAACUUCCCCUAUCCAGUAGACAAACCAGCAAAAUGUAAUAUUGGCACAUAAGAAUCUUCAAUUUUGGUUGAGGACAUUGCAAGGUUGAGGACGCUCUGACUGGUUAACCUCUUCUUAUCCCAGACUGCUGAAGAUGGAAUAGUUUCCAGUCUCAGCAGCUUGAGCACAGAGAAGGCUACUCGGAUCAACUUUCUUCAUAACAUGCCAUAGCUUGCCUUGAUAGUCAACAGCCAAAUCCAGCAUCUGUGAAAUGGAUUUUUAAUCAACAGCCCUUAUCUUAGUAUAAAUAGGAUCAUAAAAAUCUUCAUCAUGCUCUAUCUAGAGGUUUCCGCCUCUGUUGUCGUCUAAAAAAUGAAUUUUUAAAGCUGGUCAUGGAUAAUACGUCGUCGUAAUAUCACACUAAUGAAUUAAUUCUGCAAUUUAUUUUUAGAUGUCUUUUUAUCACUGGUUCUUGAAUAUUUUUAAAUAAACUUUGAGUUUGUCCUUGCACCCUUAAACACGCAUUAAUACUUAAUUAUCUCCUUUUUUUCUUCUCCAAGUUAUAGUUCGUGGGUAGUUAGCUGGUGUUAAGAAUAUUUAUUUUAAUGCUUAUUAGAUGUGUUCAAAGGCACAUUUGUCGAAAGAUUCCAUAAACUAGAAUUAUAUUUCUUCAGUAAGAUUACUUAUCUUUUUAAUGAAGAAAAUUAUUUGUGGUUCGCAUUACUGAACAAACAAUCGAAGAAAAUUCUUGAAAAGAUACAUGAAAUAAUUGAAAGUAACAAAUCAAUAAUUGGUUCUUGAUAAUUACUUUCCUCUACACACCAACAAAUUUCUCUCUCUAGUUUCAAUCACUAGAUUAAUGCUAAACAAGCUGAUUUGACGUUUGACGUUUGAAACAGGACAACACCAUCGCGUUUAAGACAAUUCCUGCCACAAACAAAAUUGUAUGGUGACUCGUGACUAAAGAUAUGGGUAAUAAAUUCUUUUUCUAAGAAAAGGUAAAGAAAAUCUUCGUCAAUGAUGGCUAGUUUACUAGAAAGAUAAGAUCAACAUAAAAGGAUACUAUUUGGAUCCAUGCACUUCCAUUUUUAGAAAAUCCGAAUCUAUCUCUAAUUAUGUUUAGUGGUAACAGAACACAUAAGUUAAAAGAUUUAUUUUUUAAAAAUAAAAAAAGAUAUAUGAAACAAUUUUAAAAUGAAUUUCAGACAUGAAACUUGUCUUUUUUAUUUUUAAUAUCUUCAUCUCGACGGUAACCAAGCACUAGCGAAUGUUUCCCUCGAGCUAUGUUAUCUAGUAAAUGACAAAGGAAUUGUAAGGUUAUCUUGGUUGCUUGGUGAAGAAUGAGUCCCCCGUCCACUUCGUGAUUGAAGACUAGGAACCCUAGUGGUGGUGGAGAAAAGGAGUAAACACACUUCACCUGGACCUUCCCUUCUCACAAGGGAAUAUAGUGGGACAAAAGAGCAAAGAUAAAUCAGGAACAUAUUAGGAAAGAACACACUGCAUUCUGUAGCGCUGACCCAAACAAGACAAAGCAAGGUGGGUGGUGGAGCUUGAUCAAUCCCAUUGAGCCUUAAAUUAGAUCACAAAUUCUUCAAUCAAUGGCGUCAAUAGAAGGAGAGUAGUCCCCACCUGCUUCCAACUUAUAUGAAAUGAUGCAAUCAUUAAUGGCACCAUUAGCUCCACUCUUUAUUACAAGACAAAAACCAGUAAAGUGCUAAUAAUCUUCUUCUUAGCAAGACAAGAAACGAGGGGAAUUUAUAAAAAGCA